CACGUAGGGGGCAAGCGUUGUCCGGAUUUAUUGAGCGUAAAGAGCUCGUAGGUGGUUCGGUAAGUCAGGUGUGAAACCUCCAGGCUCAACCUGGAGACGCCACUUGAUACUGCUGUGACUGGAGUCCGGUAGGGGAGCGUGGAAUUCCUGGUGUAGCGGUGAAAUGCGCAGAUAUCAGGAGGAACACCAGCGGCGAAGGCGGCGCUCUGGGCCGGUACUGACACUGAGGAGCGAAAGCGUGGGUAGCAAACAGG
RNAcentral lists this ribosomal RNA (254 nucleotides) under uncultured bacterium. RNAcentral describes it as "partial 16S ribosomal RNA". It matches the Rfam family "Bacterial small subunit ribosomal RNA", at positions 524 to 776 of the family's 1533-position model. The record is from RNAcentral.